UGGAACCGUCUGGAAAGUCGGGCAGCAUGGGUGAUAGCCCCGUACAGGUCAGGGUGAUUGUUGGAUUUGAGUAGGGCGGGACACGUGAAAUCCUGUCUGAACAUGGGGGGACCACCCUCCAAGCCUAAGUACUCCUCAGCGACCGAUAGUGAACCAGUACCGUGAGGGAAAGGUGAAAAGCACCCCGACGAGGGGAGUGAAAUAGUACCUGAAACCGGAUGCUUACAAACAGUCGGAGCCCAAGGUUCGUCCUGGGUGACGGCGUACCUUUUGUAUAAUGGGUCAGCGACUUAAAGUAACGAGCAAGCUUAAGCCGAUAGGUGAAGGCGCAGCGAAAGCGAGUCUGAAUAGGGCGUUUGAGUUCGUUGCUUUAGACCCGAAACCGGGUGAUCUAGCCAUGAGCAGGUUGAAGGUGCGGUAACACGCACUGGAGGACCGAACCGGUGCCUGUUGAAAAAGUCUCGGAUGACUUGUGGCUAGGGGUGAAAGGCCAAUCAAACUCGGAAAUAGCUGGUUCUCCGCGAAAGCUAUUUAGGUAGCGCCUCGCGUGAAUCCCCCAGGGGGUAGAGCACUGGAUGGGCUAGGGCCGCCCACAGCGGUACCAAACCUAACCAAACUCCGAAUACCUGGGAGGACUGCGCGGGAGACACACGGCGGGUGCUAACGUCCGUCGUGGAGAGGGAAACAACCCUGACCUACAGCUAAGGCCCCCAAUUCGUGG
Molecule: ribosomal RNA, 721 nt
Filed under: Microvirga guangxiensis
Lineage: Bacteria; Pseudomonadati; Pseudomonadota; Alphaproteobacteria; Hyphomicrobiales; Methylobacteriaceae
Description: Bacterial large subunit ribosomal RNA
Rfam family: Bacterial large subunit ribosomal RNA
Source: Rfam by way of RNAcentral